Molecule: long non-coding RNA, 539 nt
Filed under: Drosophila guanche
Lineage: Eukaryota; Metazoa; Arthropoda; Insecta; Diptera; Drosophilidae
Source: RNAcentral
UUCAUCCCAACGUAUUGUGAGCGAUGAAAACAGCGUUGGCGCAGCCCAGCUCAUUGAUCAGACGAUGAACAUCAGACAGCACACUGCAGCUCCAGCUCGAAAACAUCAUCACAUCCGUUCUUGUGAACUCCUCUCUCGAGUUCGAAGUAUCGGCAUUGUGGAUGGUUCAGCAGAACAGCAGGUUCAGGACAGCCCAAUCGAUGCUGCCCAGGCAAGCGGCAGUGACCCUCCUUCUAGAGCGAAUAGAGAAAGGCCACAGUCUGAAUGGUCUUGCCGAGGCCCAUCUCAUCGGCUAGAAUGGUGUCGAUGGCCUGUCGAGGCUCUUCAGGUACUUUAUCCGAUUUUGAGAUAUUUUAAUUAGUAUUGAUUCAAGUUCAUCCCACCGUAGUGUGAGCGAUGAAAACAGCGUUGGCGCAGCACAGCUCAUUGAUCAGACGAUGAACAUCAGAUAGCAGACUGCAGCUCCAGCUCGAAAACAUCAUCACUUCCGAUCUUGUGAACCAAGUACCAAGCGGAUGCUGCCGCAGACAGUCGUCAUU